Molecule: transfer RNA, 72 nt
Filed under: Camelus bactrianus (Bactrian camel)
Lineage: Eukaryota; Metazoa; Chordata; Mammalia; Artiodactyla; Camelidae
Also listed under: 2 other names
Rfam family: tRNA
About the family: Transfer RNA (tRNA) molecules are approximately 80 nucleotides in length. Their secondary structure includes four short double-helical elements and three loops (D, anti-codon, and T loops).
Source: Rfam by way of RNAcentral
GUGGGUAUUGCUCAGUGGUAGAGUGCGUGCUUAGCAUGCGCGAGGUCCUGGGUUCAAUCCCCAGUGUCUCCA